This 72-nucleotide transfer RNA is filed under the name Cricetulus griseus (Chinese hamster). It matches the Rfam family "tRNA". From Rfam's summary of the family: Transfer RNA (tRNA) molecules are approximately 80 nucleotides in length. Their secondary structure includes four short double-helical elements and three loops (D, anti-codon, and T loops). The record is from Rfam by way of RNAcentral. Lineage: Eukaryota; Metazoa; Chordata; Mammalia; Rodentia; Cricetidae.
GGAGAUGUGACUUAGUGGUUAAAAGCACUGGUUGCUCCUCCUGAAGACUGGGUUCAAUUCCCAGCAUCCACA